UGCGUAGGUGGUUAAUUAAGUUAUCUGUGAAAUUCCUGGGCUCAACCUAGGGAGGUCAGAUAAGACUGGUUGACUCGAGUAUGGGAGAGGGUAGUGGAAUUUCCGGUGUAGCGGUGAAAUGCGUAGAGAUCGGAAGGAACACCAGUGGCGAAGGCGGCUACCUGGCCUAAUACUGACACUGAGGCACGAAAGCGUGGGGAGCAAACA
This 207-nucleotide ribosomal RNA is filed under the name uncultured bacterium. RNAcentral describes it as "partial 16S ribosomal RNA". It matches the Rfam family "Bacterial small subunit ribosomal RNA", at positions 568 to 774 of the family's 1533-position model. The record is from RNAcentral.